CACGUAGGGUGCGAGCGUUGUCCGGAAUUAUUGGGCGUAAAGAGCUCGUAGGCGGUUCGGCAAGUCGGGUGUGAAAUUUCGAGGCUCAACCUCGAAACGCCACUCGAUACUGCUGUGACUGGAGUCCGGUAGAGGAGUGCGGAAUUCCUGGUGUAGCGGUGAAAUGCGCAGAUAUCAGGAGGAACACCAACGGCGAAGGCAGCACUCUGGGCCGGUACUGACGCUGAGGAGCGAAAGCGUGGGGAGCAAACAGG
Molecule: ribosomal RNA, 254 nt
Filed under: uncultured bacterium
Lineage: Bacteria
Description: partial 16S ribosomal RNA
Rfam family: Bacterial small subunit ribosomal RNA
Source: RNAcentral